AUGUUGAGCUGUAACUGCAAAAGGUGGGAAUUGUCUGGUAUACCUUGUCAUCAUGCAAUUGCUUGUUUUAGGCAUGAGAGAAUUGAGCCUGAGAGCAUGGUCCAUUCAUGCUACACUGUUGAGGAGUACAAGAAGUGUUAUGGCUUCAAUAUGAGGCCAAUGAGGGAUCCAGAGGAAUGGGAAAAGAUGCAUGGCAAUCCUGUUUUUCCACCCAUAUACACCAAAGUAAUGGGCAGGCCCAAGAAAAGUAGGAAAAAAGAUCCAGAGGAGAAGAAGGAUAAGAAAGGAGUUAGGAAGUUGACCAAGCAUGGUGUUAGCAUGCAUUGCUCUGUUUGUGGGGGCGCUGAUCAUAACAAGAAAGGGCAUUACAAACACGUGAAUCAACCACCUACCGAGGAAGCACCUGGGGAAUCAGAAGAAGAAUACGAUGAUCCAAGCAUAAUUGCUAACAUUAUGCCACACAGAGUUUACCCACAGUUUGAUCCAACACAAACUCCAGAUUCUAUGGUUUACAAGAUGCAGGAAAGGGAAAAAUUUACAUACCCUGCACCUAUGGACUUUGGUCCCCUGCCUGAGUCUAGCUUUAUUGCUAAUGCUAGGGACACAAUCCUUAUAGGCAGGGUGACAACAGCCAUGUCCAGGGGCAGGGUGAGAGGAGGAACAAGUGGAAGCAAUGCAACACGAGGAGGAAGAAGUGCAAGAAAUGCAACAAGGGGUGGUAGAAGUGGUACCAAUGCAAGAAGGGGAGGAAGAAGUGCAAGCAAUGCAACAAGGGGAGGCAGAAUAGUAAGCAAUGCAACAAGGGGAGGAACUGCUCCAAGUGCAACUAGAGGUGGCAAUUACCCAAGUGGAAGUAAUCCUCCCUGA
This 867-nucleotide ribosomal RNA is filed under the name Triticum aestivum (bread wheat). RNAcentral describes it as "partial small subunit ribosomal RNA". The record is from RNAcentral. Lineage: Eukaryota; Viridiplantae; Streptophyta; Magnoliopsida; Poales; Poaceae.